CUCAAUCUUUCUAUCUCACUCAUAUCCGCCUCUCUCUCAAAUCUCAUUGCAUCUAGGCUUUCAUCAAAGAUAGCAUCCAUUUUGAAUGGAUUGACAGUUGGAGACCCACUCCCUAAGAAUCUCAUGGAAUCUCCAGCAAGGUCUGAGAGUUUGUUUUAUCCAAGGAAGUCAAGAAUCAAAAUGAGUCCUUGGUGUCUAUUGUAUGCAAGGUUUGAUAGCUAGGUUGUGGAGAUGGGCCUCAUCCAGCUCUUUAAUGAGCUUUGCUGUACUUUGCCAUGGAACAAACUCAUGAAUGAUGAAGGAGUUGCAUUUGCAAGGAAAAAGUUCUAAGGAUAUUAAAGAGUGGCUCAAAAGAACUCCAAUGCAUCCAGGGGUAAUUGCAGCUAUUAGAUCAGCUCAUGCUUCAUCGUAAAUGUUUCAGCCAAAUUAUUAAUGGUCGAUUGUGUGCUAAUUAUGUUUUUCUACUUGUUUGGUGCUAAAACAAACGUUGUGGUAUUCAAUAUGAUUGUUGCAUAUGUGAUUUAAGGAUUAUUAGUGAUGCAAAUAAGUUUUUUUAUUGAGACAAUUCUGCAAUGUCAUGGUUUGUUAGGAUGCUUCUCACAGAUCGUCACAAUUUAAAUAACUGGUUGGUUUUUAUA
This is a non-coding RNA of Prunus mume (Japanese apricot), 638 nucleotides long. NCBI's taxonomy places the organism in Eukaryota, Viridiplantae, Streptophyta, Magnoliopsida, Rosales, Rosaceae. The record is from RefSeq and is a predicted model, not a curated record.